AUGUUUUUCAUGCGACUGAAAGGCACGUUGUGCUUGUGUGACGAGGGGCGAAACCGCUGCUGGAACCAACCUGCGUGUCUUUGGCGUCCGGGUUGGUUGGUGACAGCCACAGCUGCACGCUCUAAUCCGAAGAUCCUUUUGCAUCAUGGCUCGGAAUGGCCAAAGCUGGUAAACAGAUUCAGAAGGAUGUAUUGGUACUUUUUUUUUCAUAUGUUUAAUCUUGGGGCUAGCCAGCGCAACAAGGGCUCACAUGAACGUCUCACUGAGCUCAACAAGAAUUUUAGUGAUGAUCAGAAAAAUAUUGCCCGGAAAUAUGGGGAUGCUUUCAUUGAUGAACUAUCACACAAACCUAAACAACCCCGUGUGCGUCUGGCUUGGGAAGAUUUAUGA
RNAcentral lists this ribosomal RNA (390 nucleotides) under Triticum aestivum (bread wheat). Its description in RNAcentral is "partial small subunit ribosomal RNA". The record is from RNAcentral. Lineage: Eukaryota; Viridiplantae; Streptophyta; Magnoliopsida; Poales; Poaceae.